RNAcentral lists this transfer RNA (69 nucleotides) under Marmota monax (woodchuck). RNAcentral describes it as "tRNA.Ala". Lineage: Eukaryota; Metazoa; Chordata; Mammalia; Rodentia; Sciuridae. The record is from RNAcentral.
GGAGUCAUGGCUCAGAGAUAGAGCACACGCCUAGCAUGCGCGAGGCACUGAGUUCCAUUCUCAGCACCA